Molecule: ribosomal RNA, 477 nt
Filed under: Candidatus Scalindua brodae
Lineage: Bacteria; Pseudomonadati; Planctomycetota; Candidatus Brocadiia; Candidatus Brocadiales; Candidatus Scalinduaceae
Description: bacterial SSU rRNA
Rfam family: Bacterial small subunit ribosomal RNA
Source: RNAcentral
UUCGCAAUGCCCGAAAGGGUGACGAAGCGACGCCGCGUGGGUGAGGAAGGCCCUCGGGUUGUAAAGCCCUGUCAGGAGUUAAGAAAUGUAGAUACGCUAAUAUCGUAUCUAUUUGACAAAGGCUCCAAAGGAAGCCACGGCUAACUCUGUGCCAGCAGCCGCGGUAAUACAGAGGUGGCAAGCGUUGUUCGGAAUUAUUGGGCGUAAAGAGCACGUAGGUGGGUUUGUAAGUCAGAUGUGAAAGCCUUCUGUUCAACGGAAGAAUUGCAUCUGAAACUACAAGUCUUGAGUGUAGGAGGGGAGAAUGGAACUUCUGGUGGAGCGGUGAAAUGCGUAGAUAUCAGAAGGAACGCCGGCGGCGAAAGCGAUUCUCUGGCCUAUUACUGACACUCAGUGUGCGAAAGCUAGGGGAGCAAACGGGAUUAGAUACCCCGGUAGUCCUAGCCGUAAACGAUGGGCACUAAGUAGAGGGGUUUU